UUAUUAUUAUUAUUAUUAUUGAAACUAAGGCAACGAUCUGGCAAAAGCGUUAGCACGCCGGGCGAAAUGCUUAGUAGUAUUUCGUCUGCCGCUACGUUCUGAGUUC
Octopus sinensis (East Asian common octopus) is the source of this 106-nucleotide long non-coding RNA. RefSeq lists it as uncharacterized. Lineage: Eukaryota; Metazoa; Mollusca; Cephalopoda; Octopoda; Octopodidae. The transcript has 3 exons. The record is from RefSeq and is a predicted model, not a curated record.